GUGAAGGAUUUGGGAGGAUUUUUGUUUGUUUUACACUAAGUUUAUUUGAAAAAUAUGAAGUAGGAGUGUGUGUUUUGGAGGUUAGAGGCUAGUUACGGCUUAAACUUUGAUUUGGAGGGAAUUUUGAAAUACAAGGGCAAUUUAGAAAUUUCACUAUGACACGUGGUAGAUGGUAGUUUAGAGUUAGUUAUAGGUUUGUU
RNAcentral lists this long non-coding RNA (200 nucleotides) under Lathyrus oleraceus (garden pea). RNAcentral describes it as "Pisum sativum (pea) long non-coding RNA (PSAT_LNC015973)". The record is from RNAcentral. Lineage: Eukaryota; Viridiplantae; Streptophyta; Magnoliopsida; Fabales; Fabaceae.